RNAcentral lists this ribosomal RNA (600 nucleotides) under Epicoccum nigrum. Its description in RNAcentral is "eukaryotic LSU rRNA". It matches the Rfam family "Eukaryotic large subunit ribosomal RNA", at positions 38 to 653 of the family's 3401-position model. The record is from RNAcentral. Lineage: Eukaryota; Fungi; Ascomycota; Dothideomycetes; Pleosporales; Didymellaceae.
GCAUAUCAAUAAGCGGAGGAAAAGAAACCAACAGGGAUUGCCCUAGUAACGGCGAGUGAAGCGGCAACAGCUCAAAUUUGAAAUCUGGCGUCUUUGGCGUCCGAGUUGUAAUUUGCAGAGGGCGCUUUGGCAUUGGCAGCGGUCCAAGUUCCUUGGAACAGGACGUCACAGAGGGUGAGAAUCCCGUACGUGGUCGCUAGCCUUUACCGUGUAAAGCCCCUUCGACGAGUCGAGUUGUUUGGGAAUGCAGCUCUAAAUGGGAGGUAAAUUUCUUCUAAAGCUAAAUACUGGCCAGAGACCGAUAGCGCACAAGUAGAGUGAUCGAAAGAUGAAAAGCACUUUGGAAAGAGAGUUAAAAAGCACGUGAAAUUGUUGAAAGGGAAGCGCUUGCAGCCAGACUUGCCUGUAGUUGCUCAUCCGGGUUUUUACCCGGUGCACUCUUCUACGGGCAGGCCAGCAUCAGUUUGGGCGGUUGGAUAAAGGUCUCUGUCACGUACCUCCUCUCGGGGAGAUCUUAUAGGGGAGACGACAUGCAACCAGCCUGGACUGAGGUCCGCGCAUCUGCUAGGAUGCUGGCGUAAUGGCUGUAAGCGGCCCGUC